AAAAGACUAGUACCGAUAAGAUUUGAAUUUUGAAAGAGACUAACUUUAUUGUCACCAAAUGACCAUGAAUAACCGGAUAUGUCCAAUUUGGGAACAGAAAUUAAAUUCCGUCUAAAAGACGGUACAACAAAAGUCUCAUUCAAAUCUAAAUAAAAACCCGUCUUGAACAAUAGCCUAAAUUUUCCAAUAGCCUCAACUUCAACCCUUUUGCCGUCACCCACAUAGAUGUAUCUUUCACCAUCAUUUGGUUUUCGGCAGUUCAGGNNNNNNAGGUACAAUCUUUCUUCACAUGAUUAGUCCCCUUACAGAAAAAGCAACCUAAUUCAGUAAUUUCAACCUUAGGUUCCU
RNAcentral lists this long non-coding RNA (348 nucleotides) under Nicotiana benthamiana. RNAcentral's name for it is "long non-coding RNA (NBEN_LNC023561)". Lineage: Eukaryota; Viridiplantae; Streptophyta; Magnoliopsida; Solanales; Solanaceae. The record is from RNAcentral.